AACGAACGCUGGCGGCAGGCCUAACACAUGCAAGUCGAACGCCCCGCAAGGGGAGUGGCCGACGGGUGAGUACCACGUGGGAACCUUCCCUAUAGUACGGAAUAGCCCAGGGAAACUUGGAGUAAUACCGUAUACGCCCGAAAGGGGAAAGAAUUUCGCUAUAGGAUGGGCCCGCGUAGGAUUAGCUAGUUGGUGAGGUAAUGGCUCACCAAGGCGACGAUCCUUAGCUGGUUUGAGAGAACGACCAGCCACACUGGGACUGAGACACGGCCCAGACUCCUACGGGAGGCAGCAGUGGGGAAUAUUGGACAAUGGGCGCAAGCCUGAUCCAGCCAUGCCGCGUGAGUGAUGAAGGCCUUAGGGUUGUAAAGCUCUUUUGGCGGGGACGAUAAUGACGGUACCCGCAGAAUAAGUCCCGGCUAACUUCGUG
This 430-nucleotide ribosomal RNA is filed under the name uncultured bacterium. Its description in RNAcentral is "partial 16S ribosomal RNA". It matches the Rfam family "Bacterial small subunit ribosomal RNA", at positions 29 to 507 of the family's 1533-position model. The record is from RNAcentral.